This 236-nucleotide ribosomal RNA is filed under the name Clostridioides difficile. RNAcentral's name for it is "partial 23S ribosomal RNA". It matches the Rfam family "Bacterial large subunit ribosomal RNA", at positions 2567 to 2802 of the family's 2925-position model. The record is from RNAcentral. Lineage: Bacteria; Bacillati; Bacillota; Clostridia; Peptostreptococcales; Peptostreptococcaceae.
AAGGGUUGGGCUGUUCGCCCAUUAAAGUGGUACGCGAGCUGGGUUCAGAACGUCGUGAGACAGUUCGGUCCCUAUCCGUCGCAGGCGUAGGAAAUUUGAGAAGACCUGGCCUUAGUACGAGAGGACCGGGAUGGACGUACCUCUGGUGUACCAGUUGUCCUGCCAAGGGCAUGGCUGGGUAGCUAUGUACGGAAUGGAUAAGCGCUGAAAGCAUCUAAGCGCGAAGCCAACUUCAA